RNAcentral lists this ribosomal RNA (253 nucleotides) under uncultured bacterium. RNAcentral's name for it is "partial 16S ribosomal RNA". It matches the Rfam family "Bacterial small subunit ribosomal RNA", at positions 524 to 776 of the family's 1533-position model. The record is from RNAcentral.
UACGAAGGGGGCUAGCGUUGUUCGGAAUCACUGGGCGUAAAGGGCGCGUAGGCGGAUCUUUAAGUCGGGGGUGAAAGCCCAGGGCUCAACCCUGGAAUUGCCUUCGAUACUGAAGAUCUUGAGACCGGAAGAGGUUAGUGGAACUGCGAGUGUAGAGGUGAAAUUCGUAGAUAUUCGCAAGAACACCAGUGGCGAAGGCGGCUAACUGGUCCGGUUCUGACGCUGAGGCGCGAAAGCGUGGGGAGCAAACAGG